This 459-nucleotide ribosomal RNA is filed under the name uncultured bacterium. RNAcentral describes it as "partial 16S ribosomal RNA". It matches the Rfam family "Bacterial small subunit ribosomal RNA", at positions 338 to 795 of the family's 1533-position model. The record is from RNAcentral.
CCUACGGUGGGCUGCAGUGAGGAAUGUUGGUCAAUGGCCGAGAGGCUGAACCAGCCAAGUCGCGUGAGGGAAGACGGCCCUACGGGUUGUAAACCUCUUUUGUCGGGGAGCAAAGCGAGUCACGUGUGACUCAUUGAGAGUACCCGAAGAAAAAGCAUCGGCUAACUCCGUGCCAGCAGCCGCGGUAAUACGGAGGAUGCGAGCGGUAUCCGGAUUUAUUGGGGUUAAAGGGUGAGCAGGCGGAGGUGCAAGUCAGCGGUAAAAUUGCGGGGCUCAACCCCGUACUGCCGUUGAAACUGCAUCCCUUGAGUGCGCGAGAAGUAUGCGGAAUGCGUGGUGUAGCGGUGAAAUGCAUAGAUAUACGGAGGAAAACCAGUGGCGAAGGCGGCCUGCUGGACAUUAACUGACGCUGAGGAGCGAAAGCGUGGGGAGCAAACAGGAUUAGAUACCCGAGUAGUC